GAAGAAGGGUCAGAGUCAGAGAUUUGAAGAUGCUACAGCUGGUGGCUUUUAAGGUGGAGGAAAGGGCCUCGGACCAAGGAAUGCCGGCCUGUUGUUGUAGUUAGUGCCCCCUAGUCAAUUCUGACUCCUAGUGACCCUGUGUACAGCAGAGCUGAAGCCUGCAUGGUCUUUUUGUGCCAUCCCUCUCACCUUCCAGCUCUAUAUCAGACAAUGUUCUGCUGCUAUCCAUAAGGUUUUCAUGGCCACUUUUUUCAAACGUGGGUGGCCAGGUCCUUCUUCCUACUCUAGCUCAGUCUAGAAACUCAACUGAAAUCUGAAACCUGUACUGGUAGCAUAGCUUUCAGCAACACACGGCUGCCACAGUAUGACAGCCCACAGAUGAGUAGUGUGACUCCCUGACUGGGAAAUGAAAACCCAGCUGUGGCGAUGAGACUGCUGAAUCUUAACCACCAGACCAUUAGGACUGGCAGGCAACCUGUAGAAGCUGGAAAAUGCAAGGAAACUGAUUCUCCUGUAGAGCCUCCAGAAGGAAUUCCACCUGGCUGACACCUUGAUUUUAGCCCAGGAAGACCCAUUCCGGCUUUCUGACCUCCACAACUGCGAGAAGAUAAACAGGUUUGGGCAAUCAUGAAUAAAGCUGCUAUAAACAUCUAUGUGCAGGUUUUUGUGUGGACGUAAGUUUACAACUAAUUUGCUGAAUACCAAGGAGUGCGACUGCUGGAUCAUAUAGUAAGAGUAUGUUUAGUUUUAUAAGAAGCUUCCAAACUAUGCCAUUUCACAUUCCACCAGCAAUGAAUGAGAGUUCCGACUGCUCCACAUCCUCACUAGCAUUUGGUAUUUCCAGUGUCCUAGAUCUUGGCUGUUCUAACAGGCAGUGCACAUCAGACUUCACUACUGGAUUGCAGAUGACUGUUGUCACCUUGAGAAACUAUUAAAUUAAUCAAUUUCUCCCCAAGGUUGGCAUUAACUACUGACAUUUUAAUUGCACAACAGUAUUAACAAUCCUUGUAAUGCUUCAAAUGUUUGUCUAAAGCUGUUCAUGGCCAGCUUUUGUGUGUUUAGAAUGGGAUUAGAUGAAGUUUGUUUAUUAUUGUGUUAAUUUCUUCCACAUCUUUCUUAUUCUGGGCACACUUUAAUAAAAUGCUGCUUUUUCUCAUGUACUUCUUAGGACUUGGGGAAAAAAAAAAACCAAACUCUGACCUUCUUUGUAUAGCUUUCUUUUAGUGAGGAUUUUAUCUUUCAACCAGAACCAGAAAGUGACUAAGUAAUUUCUCAGAACUAGUAUGAGCUCAUUUGGUCUUGCUUAGUUCUCUCGAGCAAUAAAAGUAGUACUUUUCAACCGUGUAUAUUUCAUGACACAUUUACAAAUUUGCUGCAGGCAGCAAAACAAGUUUCUGAUAGAGCAAAGCAGGAGAUAAACCUGACCACGGACACUGGGAAAAUUCUCAACAUGCAAACACCUUAGUCUAACAACUUCUCCUGACCACUGUGGAAGUGGAAGCAGAUUAUAUUCAAUGUGCAACAAACUUGUUUUGUUAGCCACCUUUUCAAAAAUAUUUAUCUCCCCUCUUUCCCUCCUUCCCAGUGACAACUCUAUGUCUACCUCUGUUUGCAGUACCCAAUCUCGGAUUUCUUCCCCUAACAUAUUUUUCACUCUGUGUCUGUUUUGGAGGGACACAGAAAAUAUUAGAAAGAACGUAAGAAUUGUAAUGAAGUAGAUCUAGGUCCUCAUGUAACUCCACUGCUGUGCUAUGUGAGUCAGAUCACUCAAGCUCUCUGAGCUGCAGUUUCGUUUUUUUUCUGAAAUAGAGACAAUAAUGCUUUAUGUGAGGACUAAACUAGAUAUGCAAAAAAAGAAAGUCAACAAAUUGUGUAUUUAUAAUAAGAGUCAAAGGGGAACUUUGGCUACACUGUUGCAGGGGUCCGUGGCCUCAGAAUAGCAUAAGAUUUGGUGCUGAACGUCCCUGCAGUCUGGCCCCUGAAAGUAGUAGAUAAAGGAAUUUAGUCUGAUUUUCUUUUUACUCCUUCUUUUAGGCAAACAUUUCAGUGUUUAUUGUAUCCCUUUCUGUUGGACAAUAAGAUUUGCAAAUAUGAGUUCAAAUUGCCAGGAAACUCAAUUUUCUUUUCUCCUCAUUUCUCUGAACUUUUCCCACAAAAACAUUCACAUAGGGUUCCUGACAUUAUAAAGAAAUAGAAGUUAUAGCAUAGACUGGGAAAAUAAUUUUCCUGGAAAGACCAGGACAUGAAAUCCCAAUCGAGACCAUCUAUUAGGAUUCUAUUUAAAUAAACUCAGAAAAAUUGUAUUUAACCAAAUUUCAAAAUAUAAAUUAUCUGUUUAUGCAUAAC
This 2346-nucleotide long non-coding RNA is filed under the name Equus caballus (horse). RNAcentral's name for it is "lncRNA (ENSECAG00000051661.1)". Lineage: Eukaryota; Metazoa; Chordata; Mammalia; Perissodactyla; Equidae. The record is from RNAcentral.